AGAGUUUGAUCAUGGCUCAGAUUGAACGCUGGCGGCAUGCCUAACACAUGCAAGUCGAACGGAAACGAUGCUAGCUUGCUAGCAGGCGUCGAGUGGCGGACGGGUGAGUAAUGUAUAGGAACUUGCCCAGUAGUGGGGGACAACUUAUGGAAACGUAAGCUAAUACCGCAUAAUCUCUACGGAGGAAAGCAGGGGCUCUUUGGACCUUGUGCUACUGGAUAGGCCUAUAUUGGAUUAGCUAGUUGGUGAGGUAAAGGCUCACCAAGGCGACGAUCCAUAGCUGGUUUGAGAGAAUGAUCAGCCACACUGGGACUGAGACACGGCCCAGACUCCUACGGGAGGCAGCAGUGGGGAAUAUUGCACAAUGGAGGAAACUCUGAUGCAGCAAUGCCGCGUGUGUGAAGAAGGCCUUAGGGUUGUAAAGCACUUUCAAUAGGGAGGAAAAGUAAGUAGUUAAUACCUGCUUACCGUGACGUUACCUAUAGAAGAAGGACCGGCUAACUCCGUGCCAGCAGCCGCGGUAAUACGGAGGGUCCGAGCGUUAAUCGGAAUUACUGGGCGUAAAGCGCGCGUAGGCGGAUAUAUAAGUCAAAUGUGAAAGCCCUGGGCUCAACCUAGGAACUGCAUUUGAAACUGUAUAUCUAGAGUAUGGUAGAGGUGAGUGGAAUUUCAGGUGUAGCGGUGAAAUGCGUAGAGAUCUGAAGGAACAUCAGUGGCGAAGGCGACUCACUGGGCCAUUACUGACGCUGAGGUGCG
RNAcentral lists this ribosomal RNA (756 nucleotides) under uncultured bacterium. RNAcentral's name for it is "bacterial SSU rRNA". It matches the Rfam family "Bacterial small subunit ribosomal RNA", at positions 8 to 755 of the family's 1533-position model. The record is from RNAcentral.